UACGUAGGGUGCAAGCGUUGUCCGGAAUUAUUGGGCGUAAAGAGCUCGUAGGCGGUCCGUCACGUCGGCUGUGAAAACCUGGGGCUCAACCCCGGGCCUGCAGCCGAUACGGGCGGACUAGAAUUCGGUAGGGGAGACUGGAAUUCCUGGUGUAGCGGUGAAAUGCGCAGAGUAUCAGGAGGAACACCGGUGGCGAAGGCGGUUCUCUGGGCAUGUCCUGACGCUGAGGAGCGAAAGCGUGGGGAGCGAACAGGAUAG
RNAcentral lists this ribosomal RNA (258 nucleotides) under uncultured bacterium. RNAcentral's name for it is "partial 16S ribosomal RNA". It matches the Rfam family "Bacterial small subunit ribosomal RNA", at positions 524 to 780 of the family's 1533-position model. The record is from RNAcentral.